CGGGGAAUAUUGGGCAAUGGGGGCAACCCUGACCCAGCGACGCCGCGUGGGGGAAGACGGCCUUCGGGUUGUAACCUCUUUUGUACGGGAAGAAGGAAGUGACGGUACUGUACGAAUAAGUCCCGGCUAACUACGUGCCAGCAGCCGCGGUAAUACGUAGGGGACGAGCGUUGUCCGGAAUUACUGGGCGUAAAGGGCGCGCAGGCUGUGCUGCAAGUCAGCUGUUAAAUGUCUGGGCUUAACCCGGGCAUGCGGUUGAGACUGCGGUGCUGGAGUGCUGUAGAGGCAAGUGGAAUUCCCAGUGUAGCGGUGAAAUGCGUAGAUAUUGGGAAGAACACCGGCGGCGAAGGCGACUUGCUGGGCAGCAACUGACGCUGAGGCGCGAAAGCCAGGGGAGCAAACGG
This 404-nucleotide ribosomal RNA is filed under the name uncultured bacterium. RNAcentral's name for it is "bacterial SSU rRNA". It matches the Rfam family "Bacterial small subunit ribosomal RNA", at positions 355 to 775 of the family's 1533-position model. The record is from RNAcentral.